Molecule: unclassified non-coding RNA, 200 nt
Filed under: Hymenochaetaceae sp.
Lineage: Eukaryota; Fungi; Basidiomycota; Agaricomycetes; Hymenochaetales; Hymenochaetaceae
Description: partial internal transcribed spacer 2
Source: RNAcentral
UUAAGUUCAGCGGGUAGUCCCGCCUGAUUUGAGGUCAAAUAUGUCAAGUGUUGUCUCCGAUGAGAAGACGGUUCGAAAGCAAGCCCGUUAGACAAGCGUCGCCAAUGAUGGAUAGACUAUCACACCAGCGAACGCGAGCCAGAUGCUCACUCAUGCAUUCAAGGAGAGCCGACCUACUACAGAGGCCAGCAGACUCCCAA